UGAAUCAUUAUAAGAGGUCCAGCCUGCCCAGUGACCCUGUUCAACGGCCGCGGUAUCCUAACCGUGCGAAGGUAGCGUAAUCACUUGUUCUCUAAAUGUGGACUAGUAUGAAUGGCAUCACGAAGGUUAUACUGUCUCCUUUCUCUAAUCAGUGAAACUAAUCUCCCCGUGAAGAAGCGGGGAUAGCACUAUAAGACGAGAAGACCCUAUGGAGCUUCAAACAAUGCAGCACCUGCCCGAUAAUACUGAGAUUUCCGAAUUAAAACUCCUCUAGGCAGUAUGACUGCAAGUUUUUGGUUGGGGUGACCACGGAGCACAACAUAACCUCCAUGCUGAAAGAAAAUCUCUAAGCUAAGAACCACAAAUCUAAGCAUCAAUAAAUUGACACCCAUUGACCCAAUACACUUGAACAACGAACCAAGUUACCCUAGGGAUAACAGCGCAAUCCACUUCAAAAGCUCCUAUCGACAAGUGGGUUUACGACCUCGAUGUUGGAUCAGGGUCUCCCAGUGGUGCA
Molecule: ribosomal RNA, 517 nt
Filed under: Bufo japonicus (Japanese toad)
Lineage: Eukaryota; Metazoa; Chordata; Amphibia; Anura; Bufonidae
Description: partial 16S ribosomal RNA
Rfam family: Bacterial large subunit ribosomal RNA
Source: RNAcentral